CGUGAGUCACAGAGUGUGCUCUGAGGGCUGGACCCGCACAGGCAGGGUGGUGGCUGUUUGUUCUCUCAGCCGGGAAAGUUUUUACUCUGGCUCAGCGCCUCACUCCCGUAGAUUCACCUAAAGUCCUAGGGGUUCUUGGAAUCCAAUCGUAAGGGCUGCUUUGCAUUGGUGACACUUUUCCGGGCCUCGUUUGCUCAGGCUCCGCCUGUGAACCUGGUGACUUCGCCACCCCAGUUCUCCAGGAACAGAGCAGGCUUUUCCACUGCAGGUUUCAGAACGGCUGGAGCCCCUUCCGGGGCCCUGGACCCUCCUGCCUGCCCAUGAGGUCUCAGAGAAAGCAAAAAUCACAGCUGGCUACUGAAGAAAAGCUGACACUGCCAGGUAAGCCAAGGGGGCUGCAGGACGAGGUCACCGGAGGAGCACAGGAGGGCAGGGGCCCGAGGGCCCCUGGGGUGCGCGCGUCCUGGGGCGCAGCUGCCCCCCACCCCAUCGGCGGUCUCGGGAGCGGGGACCGCCGGAGCCCACCCGCUCCCCGCGUCUGGACGGGAGGAAAAGCGCCCCACGAGGUCCCCACUCAGCUCGGUAAGGUCAGAGGUGCAAGCGAGUCAGCGCUCACGCGCGGAAAGGCGUGUGAAGAAAGCGGGGCUCCGUCCGCUCCACCCGAGGGCACCGGUCACCGCCACCGCCCCAGAGGUCUCUGCUGCCCUGCCUGAGGCGUCUCGCACUGGACCGCGAUAAACAGAAGAAUGCAAGUGUAAAGACACACAAAAAAGAAACAGACACACACACACAAACACGCACACACAAACACCCUCAGAGAGAGGGGGAGAGAGAGACAGAGAGGAACAGACAGAGAGACAGAGACAGAGGGACGUGGGGGGGGGCCGAGAGAGAGAGAUUACCUGCUGUAUUCACAGUGCGAUUCCUUUUGAGGAAAACAUAAAGCCAUUUCUGAACUUUGCAACCAAAAUCUCAACCGCAGUUUCCUUGGUUAGUAAGUUACUAUAAUUUUUAUUUUGUUCUUUCCAUUAUACUGUAUUUUCUUUUUCUUUUCUUUCUUUCUUUCUUUCUUUCUUUCUUUCUUUCUUUCUUUCUGGUCUCAGACUCACAGUGAUCCUCCUGCCUCAGCCUCCAGAGUGCUGGGAUUACAGGCCUGAGCCGCCGUUCCUGGCUUAUUUUUCAAAUUUUCCAAAAAAUAAAAAAAAAUCACCACAUCUGCUAAUUAUUGAGAUACUUGGCCUUGUUUUUAAACGUUCUAAUUUUCAUCGUAAGGAAGAGUCUGUUUCUGUGCAGCCUCCACGUGAAGAGGAAUAAAAACAGGAUUAGAGCUAAAAGGGAUAAAGGGAGCCAGGGAGGGAGCCGCGGAGGUGAGCGCCCCUUCUGCUGUCACCCUCGUGAAGCCUGGGUAGGAAGAAGUCCCUGCCUGGGGAAAGUGGGGUGGGAGGAGUUUCAGUCACCGAAGUCUUCACUGCUGCAAGAGCCAAGCUAACUCAGUAAGCUGCCCACCGGUGUGUGUUCAGUCUGGGGAGCCUUGAGUUCCAUUCCAUUUUGUAUUUCUACUUCAUCUGUACUUCCUGUUAACCAAAACCCUUGGAAUUCUCACAAUACAAGAUGCCCUUGGGUGAGGGGAGGGGGACCCAGCUCCCUGGCUUGCUGCCCACUUCCGAUGCCCAGGUGGACCGGUGGCCACGUGGGAGUAGUGGCUUCUGUCCUGUCCCCAGCAGCUGGGGUCCAGUUGUGGGCUCCGGCUCAGUUGCAGAAAAACACUUUCUGGGGCUCCUGUCAGGGACGCUGACUCUGGACAGCCACACCUGAGACCCACUGCCGCUGGGGAGAGGCAAAUGUAGAUGUUUCUGUUGCUCAGGUCAUGGUGAUUGAGUAUUCGGAUGGACUUGUUUUUAGGACUUUAGUGUUGUUGAAAUCGUAGAAGAAUUGGAUCUAAUCCAGCAGUCAAAAAAAAAAAAAAAAAAAAAGCAAAGAUUCUCACCCCCUGUCCUGCCCCAGGUUAAGCUGAGUUCAGAAAAGGGGGGAAAUUCAGAGUCCACAGCUUGGCCCCUACAGCAAUGGUGGGCAUUCUUCUGCCACUGUGUCCAUGGAGGUGACCAAUGUGCAGCCAGAUGUGAAGAUGUUUCUGAGACAACUGUGUGAGCGCAGCAGAGCUGGAAGCAGCAGCAAUAGAGACGCCGCUGCUGGGCAGGUGCAGACCAGGCUGCCCCCUGCUCACCGCACUACUGGGGACCGGGAACUCACCGUGGCUAAUUUGGAUAGUUCCCUGAGCGAUGGAGGCUUGGGAUUAUGGUGUCACCCUUUGGAGACUUCCCAUUAAUUCUUGCGAUGGGCCAUCCUCUCCCACCAACUAAGGGUAAACUAAAACUAUUAAGAUGAAAAAGAACACUCCAAAAUAAGAUCCUUCUUAGCAUAAAAUCAUCUCCACACUCUUGAGUCAUCCCAGGAUUAUUUGCUGCCCGCAGUGUCUUGGUGCCAUGGACUUCUGAAGCUUCCCCAGCCCCUCCUAUCAUGGCAUGCCCCUGUUGCAUUGCACACACCCAAUACACAGCAAUUGGUUUGGAGUAUCUAGACUUUUGCCCAUCCUGAGCCACUGACCUCCAGGCCUUCAUCAUGCAUUACUAAAUUUAUCUCUGUUUCUUAUUUUAUCCUUCAUAUACCCCUCACACAGGCAGUUGGAGAUCUUGACCCGGUCCCUGAUACCACCCCACAACAUCUCCAGCCCCAGCCCUUGGUUCUUAGCACCUCCUGCCAAUCCCUGCAGUGCUUGAGUAAAGAAAGUGGCAGAUGGACUUUUCUCCCCAGUACAGGAAAGAAAAACCAUACCUAUUUCUUUUGAAUACAUCCAGAUUCUAUCAGGUGAUCCUGAGUUACAGAGGAUUGUAAGUCCAGCCUCCUGCUUUAUCUCCAGGUUUCUGUGGAUGGUUCCAUCUGUCCUGAAAUCAGAAUUGAAAGCUCUCUGGGUCUCCUGGAGCCACCGCAGGAAAUUUUGUGAUGCUGAAAGCAGAUGUGAUCCUAAUCAGUCUCCUGUAGAAUCCCUGGGGGCCUGGAGGGCCAUGUCACACUCUGGCGUCCUCUGCAGACAACAGGGUUGUGCUCUGAAUAGACAGAAUGUGUCUCUUUUGAUGCAGCUAGUUUGCCAAGGUACAUCUCAACAGGUACUGAGCCAGGAGGACGUCCUGGGACCCUGUCAUCUCCUGAGUCAUGGACAGAGUGACAAGUGCUGCCUGCCUUUGGAAGAGCAAAUAGUAUAGGUUAUAUUAGUAAACACGGAUGUUUGUAUCUGAUUUCAUAAUGUUAUCAUGAAGUGGUAAGUGUGACUUUCACAUUAGAGGGAGAAUGUGCUCUCGGAGCCCAGCAGCAUUGGAGGUGUCCUUGGGAGUUUGGGGUUGUUAUUUUGUUUUGUUUUGAAUUUUUGUCCUACAGGAAUUAUGGUAAAGUUCAUUCUAGGUGUGGAAGAAACCUGAACUGUUUUAUCAGUAAAGUAAGUGCGCAUGGGUGAUGGUGAAUGUGUGUCCUGCAAAUGGAAAAGCAAGUUUUAUUCUGUUAACUUACUCACCUGGGAACCAGCGUGGUUCUUUCUAAUCCGCUCUUGUUCUCCAAAAAACGCUUGGCUGAAAGUUGCCAAAGUGGAGAUAGACCAGUGACGAUCAGAUGUCAUCAGGGAUCGUGAAUUCACCUUAUUCUACAGUGUGGAGACAGCAAAUUUGAAAACUCACUGAUCCAAAAGAAGCAUUUCCAUAUAUGUGAACCCUUCCACGAUCCUCCAAAAUCUUGCCUUCAGAGACGUGGAGCUCCAGACCCCAUGGGAUCAAGAGUUUCAGAUCAGUCUUGGCAACUCAGUGGGAUCCUGCCUCAAAAUUAAAAUCCAUUUUAUUUCAAAGAUUAAAAAAAGAAGACGAAGAAGAAAAACAACUGCAACAAAAUUUCAGAACACAUCAGUCAGGGGGCAACAGUGGUGGGCAGCUAUUCUGAAGAUAACAUGAAACAGUACUGUAGCCAUUGCUGAUUUUCUGUCAUCUUGUUUUGAAGUUCUGUAUUACUCAUUGUUUUCUUUCCUUUUUUUUUUUUUUUUUGCUUUUAUUCUCUUUAAAAUAAAAUUAAGAACAAACAAAAAAAAAA
Cavia porcellus (domestic guinea pig) is the source of this 4128-nucleotide long non-coding RNA. RefSeq lists it as uncharacterized. The transcript has 3 exons. Lineage: Eukaryota; Metazoa; Chordata; Mammalia; Rodentia; Caviidae. The record is from RefSeq and is a predicted model, not a curated record.